UACCAGCUCUCCGAGUGGUGUGGAUGUUUAUUGGGCCUAAAGCAUCCGUAGCUGGCUGGGCAAGUCCCCUGUUAAAUCCACCGAUUUAAUCGUUGGAGUGCGGGGGAUACUGUUCGGCUAGGGGACGGGAGAGGCAGACGGUAUUUUCGGGGUAGGGGUGAAAUCCUAUAAUCCCGGGAAGACCACCAGUGGCGAAGGCUGUCUGCUAGAACGCGCCCGACGGUGAGGGAUGAAAGCUGGGGGAGCGAACCGGAUUAGAUACCCGGGUAGUCCCAGCUGUAAACGAUGCAGGCUAGGUGUUUGGGCGGCCACGUGCCGCUCUAGUGCCGCAGGGAAGCCGUUAAGCCUGCCGCCUGGGGAGUACGGCCGCAAGGCUAGAAACUUAAAGGAAUUGGGCGGGGGAGCACCACGAAGGGGUGAAGCUUGCGGUUU
Molecule: ribosomal RNA, 432 nt
Filed under: uncultured archaeon
Lineage: Archaea
Description: bacterial SSU rRNA
Rfam family: Archaeal small subunit ribosomal RNA
Source: RNAcentral